This 253-nucleotide ribosomal RNA is filed under the name uncultured bacterium. RNAcentral describes it as "partial 16S ribosomal RNA". It matches the Rfam family "Bacterial small subunit ribosomal RNA", at positions 524 to 776 of the family's 1533-position model. The record is from RNAcentral.
UACGAAGGGGGCUAGCGUUGCUCGGAAUUACUGGGCGUAAAGCGCACGUAGGCGGCUUUCUAAGUCGGGGGUGAAAUCCUGGAGCUCAACUCCAGAACUGCCUUCGAUACUGGAGAGCUUGAGUCCGGGAGAGGUGAGUGGAACUGCGAGUGUAGAGGUGAAAUUCGUAGAUAUUCGCAAGAACACCAGUGGCGAAGGCGGCUCACUGGCCCGGUACUGACGCUGAGGAGCGAAAGCGUGGGGAGCGAACAGG